RNAcentral lists this ribosomal RNA (323 nucleotides) under uncultured Pseudomonadota bacterium. RNAcentral's name for it is "bacterial SSU rRNA". It matches the Rfam family "Bacterial small subunit ribosomal RNA", at positions 30 to 351 of the family's 1533-position model. The record is from RNAcentral. Lineage: Bacteria; Pseudomonadati; Pseudomonadota.
AUUGAACGCUGGCGGCAUGCCUUACACAUGCAAGUCGAACGGCAGCACGGGAGCAAUCCUGGUGGCGAGUGGCGAACGGGUGAGUAAUAUAUCGGAACGUGCCCAGUCGUGGGGGAUAACGCAGCGAAAGCUGUGCUAAUACAGCAUACGAUCUCUGGAUGAAAGCGGGGGAUUCGCAAGGACCUCGCGCGAUUGGAGUGGCCGAUAUCAGAUUAGCUAGUUGGUGGGGUAAAAGCCUACCAAGGCGACGAUCUGUAGCUGGUCUGAGAGGACGACCAGCCACACUGGAACUGAGACACGGUCCAGACACCUACGGGUGGCAG